AGUAUAGGAGGCCUUACCUGCCCAGUGACUACAAGUUAAACGGCCGCGGUAUUUUGACCGUGCAAAGGUAGCGCAAUCACUUGUCUUUUAAAUGAAGACCUGUAUGAAUGGUUAAACGAGGGCUUAACUGUCUCUCUUUUCAAGUCAAUGAAAUUGAUCUACCCGUGCAGAAGCGGGUAUAAAAAUACAAGACGAGAAGACCCUUUGGAGCUUAAGAUAUAAGAUCACCUAUGUCAAGAGGCCAAAUACACCUAAACCAAAUAGUAUAACUGAUCCUAAUCUUCGGUUGGGGCGACCAAGGGAGAUAAUAAAGCUCCCUCGAGGACUGGGAAUAUUUUCCUAAAACUAAGAGAGACAUCUCUAAGUCACAGAAUAUCUGACCAUUAAGAUCCGGCUACAUGCCGAUCAACGGACCAAGUUACCCAAGGGAUAACAGCGCAAUCCUCUUUAAGAGUUCAUAUCGACAAGAGGGUUUACGACCUCGAUGUUGGAUCAGGACAUCCUAAUGGUGCAGCCGCUAUUAAGGGUUCGUUUGUUCAACGAUUAAA
Molecule: ribosomal RNA, 548 nt
Filed under: Homodiaetus anisitsi
Lineage: Eukaryota; Metazoa; Chordata; Actinopteri; Siluriformes; Trichomycteridae
Description: partial 16S ribosomal RNA
Rfam family: Bacterial large subunit ribosomal RNA
Source: RNAcentral